RNAcentral lists this ribosomal RNA (408 nucleotides) under bacterium enrichment culture clone ALO1_GLFRUDD03F0NUU. RNAcentral describes it as "bacterial SSU rRNA". It matches the Rfam family "Bacterial small subunit ribosomal RNA", at positions 9 to 417 of the family's 1533-position model. The record is from RNAcentral. RNAcentral also lists the same sequence under 39 other names.
GAGUUUGAUCAUGGCUCAGAUUGAACGCUGGCGGCAUGCCUUACACAUGCAAGUCGAACGGCAGCACGGGAGCUUGCUCCUGGUGGCGAGUGGCGAACGGGUGAGUAAUGCAUCGGAACGUAUCCUGGAGUGGGGGAUAACGUAGCGAAAGUUACGCUAAUACCGCAUAUUCUGUGAGCAGGAAAGCGGGGGACCUUCGGGCCUCGCGCUCUUGGAGCGGCCGAUGUCGGAUUAGCUAGUUGGUGAGGUAAAGGCUCACCAAGGCGACGAUCCGUAGCAGGUCUGAGAGGAUGAUCUGCCACACUGGAACUGAGACACGGUCCAGACUCCUACGGGAGGCAGCAGUGGGGAAUUUUGGACAAUGGGGGCAACCCUGAUCCAGCCAUGCCGCGUGAGUGAAGAAGGCCU